AUGGAAUCCGUAUUCGUUGGUGGAAAUACCAUUUUGUCCCCACAUACUCUUGCAAGGAAUGGUAGGGUGGCUUUCAUGGUGCCUCCUAGUAGUACUAGGAGAAACCUCCCCAAGAACCUUCGCUAUCCGCGGCAAGCAAAGCAUCCUCCUGAUCUGGGAGUCAAUCAGUUCUUGAAGAAGACAAGCAAUGAUGCCAGUGAGCCAGUUCAAACAGAGUUCCCUGAGGAGGAGGAAGAAAAAUAUACUGAAAACGGCGACAUUGUUUGGGAAUCAGAAGAAAUUGAAGCUAUUGAGUCACUUUUCCGAGGGAGGAUACCCCAAAAGCCGGGAAGUUUGAAUAGGCAGAGGCCUCUACCGCUGCCACUGCCUUACAAGGUUCGACCUUUGAGACUUCCUUCGCCAAAGAAAAAUGCUGUUAAGAUUGGACCCAUAUCUAAGCAAGUGUACAAGAACCCCAAUGCCCUUGUUGGGUUGGCAAGGGAAAUUAGAAGCCUUGGAGAAGAUAAAGAUGUGGGGAUAGUUCUGAACAAGAGGGUUCAGUUUCUGCGAAAAGGGUCUCUCUCCAUGACAAUACGGGAAUUGGGGCACAUGGGGCUUCCUGAGAGGGCUCUGCAGACCUUCUGUUGGGCUCAGAAACAGCCUCAGCUAUACCCUGACGACAGGAUUCUGAGUUCGACGGUGGAGGUCCUGGCAAGGAACCAUGAGCUCAAACUGCCGUUUAAUUUGGACAAGUUCACUAGCUCUGCUAAUCGUGGUGUGAUUGAGGCAAUGGUGAGAGGUUUCAUCAAAGGAGGAAGCUUGCAUCUAGCUUGGAAGUUAGUAUCGAUAGCCAAAGAUAAUCAAAGGAAGCUGGAUCCUAGCUUGUACGCAAAGCUAAUAGUAGAGUUUGGGAAAAACCCUGAUAAACAUAUGGUUGUGAUGACCUUACUGGAGGAGCUUGGAGAAAGAGAAGACCUGAAAUUAAGCCAACAGGACUGUACUUCUAUUAUGAAGGUGUGCAUUAGGCUAGGGAAAUUUGAAGUCGUUGAGAGUGUUUAUGAUUGGUUUAGACAAUCUGGACAUGAUCCAACUGUCGUAGUUUACACUACUUUGAUUCACAGCCGCUACUCCGAGAAGAGAUACAAGGCGGCCUUGGCUGUGGUUUGGGAGAUGGAGGCUUCAAACUGUCUCUUUGACUUUCCAGCUUAUCGAGUUGUAAUAAAAGUUUUUGUUGCUCUCAAUGAUCUUGCAAGGGCUGCAAGAUAUUUUUCGAAGCUUAAAGAAGCAGGUUUCACUCCGACAUAUGACAUAUACCGGGAUAUGAUCAGAAUUUACAUGGUUUCUGGGCGGCUAGCCAAGUGUAGGGAGAUCUGCAAGGAGGUAGAGAUGGGAGGACUGAAGUUAGAUCAAGAAACAAUGUCUCAUUUGUUGCAAUAA
RNA transcript from Fragaria vesca subsp. vesca, 1416 nucleotides. It is a transcript of the gene named pentatricopeptide repeat-containing protein At2g01860-like, with no coding region annotated. The transcript has a single exon. The record is from RefSeq and is a predicted model, not a curated record. The annotation marks the transcript as partial. NCBI's taxonomy places the organism in Eukaryota, Viridiplantae, Streptophyta, Magnoliopsida, Rosales, Rosaceae.